UACGGAGGAUCCAAGCGUUAUCCGGAUUUAUUGGGUUUAAAGGGUGCGCAGGCGGAAGAUUAAGUCGGCGGUGAAAUUUUGCAGCUCAACUGUAAAAGUGCCUUCGAAACUGGUUUCCUUGAGUGUGGAUGAAGUAGGCGGAAUUUGUGGUGUAGCGGUGAAAUGCAUAGAUAUCACGAGGAACUCCGAUCGCGUAGGCAGCUUACUAAACCAUAACUGACGCUCAUGCACGAAGGCGUGGGGAUCAAACAGGAUUAGAUACCCUGGUA
This 269-nucleotide ribosomal RNA is filed under the name uncultured prokaryote. RNAcentral describes it as "partial 16S ribosomal RNA". It matches the Rfam family "Bacterial small subunit ribosomal RNA", at positions 524 to 792 of the family's 1533-position model. The record is from RNAcentral.